RNAcentral lists this ribosomal RNA (497 nucleotides) under uncultured bacterium. RNAcentral describes it as "partial 16S ribosomal RNA". It matches the Rfam family "Bacterial small subunit ribosomal RNA", at positions 28 to 507 of the family's 1533-position model. The record is from RNAcentral.
GAUGAACGCUGGCGGCGUGCCUAAUACAUGCAAGUCGAGCGAACAGAUGAGGAGCUUGCUCCUCUGACGUUAGCGGCGGACGGGUGAGUAACACGUGGAUAACCUACCUAUAAGACUGGGAUAACUUCGGGAAACCGGAGCUAAUACCGGAUAAUAUAUUGAACCGCAUGGUUCAAUAGUGAAAGACGGUUUUGCUGUCACUUAUAGAUGGAUCCGCGCCGCAUUAGCUAGUUGGUAAGGUAACGGCUUACCAAGGCAACGAUGCGUAGCCGACCUGAGAGGGUGAUCGGCCACACUGGAACUGAGACACGGUCAAGACUCCUACGGGAGGCAGCAGUAGGGAAUCUUCCGCAAUGGGCGAAAGCAUGACGGAGCAACGCCGAGUGAGUGAUGAAGGUCUUCGGAUCGUAAAACUCUGUUAUUAGGGAAGAACAAAUGUGUAAGUAACUAUGCACGUCUUGACGGUACCUAAUCAGAAAGCCACGGCUAACUACGUG